UCCAUAUGCAGCUUGUCCACCGUUGUACACCGCCAAAACUACCGGUAUUAAGUGGUGAUUAAGUUUGUGAUAUAUCUUUUAAGGUUGAUGUAAUGGGUGCGAUGAAGGGUGAAGCAGGUAAUGAUUCAGGGUUCAGCUGAAUCACUAGAUACAAAGGAUGGACAGGGAAGCACAGGACUGGUUCAGACAGUCUGACAUUGGUCCGGGCGUGGGUUUGACAUUGAACAGUGAAGCAAGGAAGUUUUUCCAUGAAGCACAUGAAAAAUUCACAUCUUCCAGUGGAAACAGUUCUGAUCUAUUCUCAAAAUUUGUGAAGGAAAAUGAGGAAAGGUUUAUGUUACAUUGUUCAGCACGUGCCUCAGUUGGUGGCUUUGAACAAGAUGGACAUGACUUCAUCCGUAGCUUCUCUGCGGGUUCCGGUUGGACCAUGUCUCCUCUACGAAAUGAGGAAAAGUUACAAUCUCCAUUUUCCCAGGCUUCACACCCAUCCAAAUUAUCCAGUAUAGAUAAGACUCUGUUUGGUGGUGGAUUUCCAAUGUUUGUGGUAUCAAACAGGCGAAUGUGGGCUGAGAGUUGGAGUGAGAAUUUUUCAGUGUCACGAAGUUCAUUUCAGUACCACACAAAUGUGUGCAGAGUUAGUUCUGCACACACAACACAUCAUGAGGCGUAUGAUGUUUCGGAAAGUGAGAGUGAAGAUGAAGAUGCAGUUCCUCGGCCUAUUAGCAGUCCUCCACCUAGUGAAACAAGCUCAGUUACAACAUUGGAGAACCAGGGACAGGUAUUGGCCAUAGAAGCAGAUCUGCGUAGAGAGAAAGCUUUCAAGAUUGCUAUGGAGUUGCUGACAACAGAGAGAAGUUAUGUUGCAGUCCUUCAUUUGAUAGACCAGAUCUUUCACUUUCGAUUAGACCAAGAAAACCGAGCCCAUAACAUGUUUCCUCAGGAAGUGAUACCUCAGAUGUUUUCUAACAUAAAAUCUAUCUACCAGUUCCAUCAUGAUUUUCUCUUACCACAGCUGGAAGCCCGGAUGACAAACUGGAACCAGGAAGCCAAAAUUGGUGAUAUCAUGAAGAACUUUGCACCAUUUCUGAAAUUAUAUACAGAAUAUGUGAAGAAUUUUGACAAUGCAAUGAAUAUCAUAAGUGCAAUGGCAGCUAAAUAUCAGAGAUUUGCAGCAGUGAUGGAUGAAAUUCACAGAAUGCCAGAAUGUGGGAAUCUCACGUUAUCUCAUCACAUGCUGAGCCCAAUACAGCGCAUUCCACGUUAUGAACUACUUCUUAAAGAUUAUCUCAAGAAGUUGCCUGAUGAUUCAGAUGAUAAAGAAGACACAGAAAAAGCUCUUCACUUGGUAUCAACAGCAGCAAAUCAUGCAAAUGAAGCAAUGAAGAAAAUUGACAAGUUUAAGGAGCUAUUGGAAGUGCAGGAGAAAAUCAGUGGCGCUGUGGACCUGGUUAGCCCAACACGAGAACUGCUGAAGGAAGGAAAAAUUGUCAAAAUUUCAGCCCGCAGUGGGGACCAUCAGGAGAGGUACCUUUUCCUGUUCAGUGAUCUCCUUUUGCUGUGUUCUUCCCGCCUGCUGCCAGCUGGAAUUUCAGCAGCAUAUCGUCUGCGGGCUAAGUUCUGGUUAGAGGACACCCAGAUUCUGGAGGGUGAUGACCUUGUAACUGAAAACACAUUCUACCUCAGAGAUAGCCAUAAGAAUGUGGAGCUAUAUACACAAACUGUGGAAGAGAAGACAAGCUGGCUGGAUGCUCUGUGUACUGCUAUUGAAGAACUUUAUAAGAGGAAGUCGUCAUUGAAGCUUGGAACAGAAUGUUCCAGUCCCGUGGAUAUGCAGAAGCCUCCGAAGUAUAUCAAGAUGGAUGUCAUACACAAGUGUAUGGAUUGUAGAGCCAGUUUUGGUGUCAUAAAGCGAAAGCAUCACUGUAGAGCUUGUGGAAUGGUGGUGUGUGGAAAGUGUUCAAACCAGAAGCAUCCUCUUCAGUUCGAAGAAAACAAGCCUUCACGUGUGUGCCGUACUUGUUACCAGAAGCUUGUACAGCAGAGAUCAGCCAGCCCAGAAAGGAUUGACUCUGAUCCUGAGAAUAUAAACACCAGUUUAGCCAGAGGAAAAGGCUUGCUAGAGGUGGCUGCUGAUGCUGAAUGUAUUCUCAGUGGAUACUUGCAGCUAAGAACAAAUAAAUCAUGGGUUCGAAGAUGUUUUGCUCUUCAUCCUGAUUUUGUACUAUAUUCCUUCCGAUCACACAAGGAUCAGCGUGCUAUCACUGCCACACCCAUACCUGGUUACACCAUUGUUAAGGCAGUGGAGUUGAAGGGCGACUCUUUUGGUGAUAAAGAGAAAGUUUUCAAGAUGUAUCACACAAAGAAGGUGUAUUAUUUUCAAGCAGAGUCAAAGGAUGUUGUUGAUAAGUGGGUCCACGUCCUGCAAAUGGCAGCACUAGCAGAACUUCCUUCUCCUCAGAAAACAGAAGGGAGGUGAAAUCAAAAGAGAAGUCUUCACAUAAUAGUUUGUACCAUUUUUAAUGCUUCAUUCUGUGUUAGCUGCAUCACUCAAAAAAACUGAUUAGAUCUCAUGUAUUAACAUGUCCUUUGUAUUUUGGACAUAAAUGGUAAAUGCAUAAAUUCGUACGCAGUGGAUAAUCAUGUGAUAGCUGCGACUACCAUCACACAAUAAAUAAUGAAGAGUGUGCUAUGUUCGCUUUGGAAAAUAAUGAGGUAAUGUACUUUCUCAUAUACAUGGUGUAGGCGGAGUACAGUGAUGGAACUAAGAUAAGAUUUUAACAAGAAAUAUGUUCUAGGUAUUCCUGUCUUCAGGGCAGUUAUUUUGGAUGUGCUGUCUUUGGGCACUAGUUGGUCAGGCUUUGAUAAAUAGAUGUCCGGUGCAUGCCCAACCCCGAUGUCUGCUUGGCCACCAUGCUGCCUCAUGCUUUCCCUCUCCUGUUAUCAUUCAUGGUCUUACUAGCUUUCAUAUCAAUUGGGAUACAAAUUUCUGAGGAUGGUACUAUCAUACACAUAUAGCUCCAGUUGUUCACCUAGAUGUCCAUUUGUUCCGCACUGAGCUUGAAAUCAGUUUAGCAGUUAUAAUCGGAGUAAUCGGAGCAUGCAGUAUAUAUAGAAUUUUGCGUCUUUGGUUGGUUCUCGAAACACCAUACCUCAAUUACUUAAAUGUUUCUUUAAGAUUAACAUUUGCAAGUGUACUUGUAUGUACUCACUGAAUUGCAGGAAGAACAUAUGUAGUCUGAACCUCGGAAUACACAUAUGUUCACAACCUGCGGUACUUUUCUUUGCUGCUCCAAAGUAAGCUUGGUAAUAUUUGGCUGACGUCACUCUGCAGUUCUGAAUUGUUCAGUGUUUGUUUAUUUUCUCCACAAAACUACUAUUUUUCUCAAACACAUUCUAGGGUUACUUUUUUAUAGAUUGUAUCGCUUUAAAAUUCACAUGUAAAAGAUUAUUAUUAUUAUUAUUAUUAUUAUUAUUGUGUUUGUAUUACUGACAUUUUCAUUGAAAGUAGGCCAAACAAUAAGCCAGCCAGAAGAAACAGAUAAAUAUAACAGAAAUGACAUUUGCCAAAUGAAAUGCCUAGAUGGUCCACUAAAAUAUAUCAAACAGAAAGAGAACUUAAUAUUAGAUACAAAAGACACAUUGAUGUCAUCAGAAAUUCUUUGGGCUGCUGUUGGAACCAGGCGGUGACUGGGAUCAUGAAGGCAUGCUGCUCACCGCAUUCCAGCCUCAAGGACAAACUGUAAAUGCCGACUCCUACUGUAACAUCCUCAGGAAUCUUCAUGAAGCCAUUCAAUGGAAGUGACCAGGACUCCUCACCGAAGGCGUGUUGCUCUUGCAUGACAACGUGCGUCCCCAUACUGCCAACAAGACAAAUGAGACGCUGCGAAAUUUCAAGUGGGAAGUCUUCGAGCAUCCGCCGUAUAGCCCUGACCUUGCUCCAAGCAACUUCCAUUUGUUCGGCCCUCUCAAACAUCAUCUUUUGGCUGAACACCUGACGAUGAUG
Molecule: RNA transcript, 4003 nt
Organism: Cryptotermes secundus
Lineage: Eukaryota; Metazoa; Arthropoda; Insecta; Blattodea; Kalotermitidae
Gene name: FYVE, RhoGEF and PH domain-containing protein 2
Exons: 14
Source: RefSeq, a predicted model, not a curated record